Molecule: ribosomal RNA, 310 nt
Filed under: Atrax robustus
Lineage: Eukaryota; Metazoa; Arthropoda; Arachnida; Araneae; Hexathelidae
Description: partial 12S ribosomal RNA
Source: RNAcentral
AGGUAAUAUCAAUAAGAGAAACCUAUGCCCCUUGGCGGCCUUUCAUCUUAUCAGAGGAACUUGUUACCAUCGACACUACCCGCUAUAUUUAACUUUUUUAACUGUUUUUAUACCGCCGUCUAAAGGUUUCCCUAAAACAUCAACCCAUAAAAAUAUCUUAAUACGUCAGGUCAAGGUGAAGCCUAUAAAAAAGUUCAUAAUGAGUUACAUAUUAAAAGAAUUAAAGGAAUCGUACCCAAAGUUACGAAAAAAAAGGAUUUGACAGUAAAGUUUAAGAAAUUCACUAAACUUGAAAAAGCAAAAAAGGUGU